RNAcentral lists this ribosomal RNA (447 nucleotides) under Stenotrophomonas sp. RNAcentral's name for it is "bacterial SSU rRNA". It matches the Rfam family "Bacterial small subunit ribosomal RNA", at positions 52 to 488 of the family's 1533-position model. The record is from RNAcentral. Lineage: Bacteria; Pseudomonadati; Pseudomonadota; Gammaproteobacteria; Lysobacterales; Lysobacteraceae.
CACAUGCAAGUCGAACGGCAGCACAGAGGAGCUUGYUCCUUGGGUGGCGAGUGGCGGACGGGUGAGGAAUACAUCGGAAUCUACUCUGUCGUGGGGGAUAACGUAGGGAAACUUACGCUAAUACCGCAUACGACCUACGGGUGAAAGCAGGGGAUCUUCGGACCUUGCGCGAUUGAAUGAGCCGAUGUCGGAUUAKCUAGUUGGCGGGGUAAAGGCCCACCAAGGCGACRAUCCGUAGCUGGUCUGAGAGGAUGAUCAGCCACACUGGAACUGAGACACGGUCCAGACUCCUACGGGAGGCAGCAGUGGGGAAUAUUGGACAAUGGGCGCAAGCCUGAUCCAGCCAUACCGCGUGGGUGAARAARGCCUUCGGGUUGUAAAGCCCUUUUGUUGGGAAAGAAAUCCAGCCGGCUAAUACCUGGUUGGGAUGACGGUACCCAAAGAAUA